UGGGGGAUAUUGCACAAUGGGGGGAACCCUGAUGCAGCGACGCCGCGUGGGUGAAGAAGCGCCUCGGCGCGUAAAGCCCUGUCAGCAGGGAAGAAAAUGACGGUACCUGAAGAAGAAGCCCCGGCUAACUACGUGCCAGCAGCCGCGAA
RNAcentral lists this ribosomal RNA (149 nucleotides) under uncultured bacterium. Its description in RNAcentral is "partial 16S ribosomal RNA". It matches the Rfam family "Bacterial small subunit ribosomal RNA", at positions 355 to 521 of the family's 1533-position model. The record is from RNAcentral.